This 544-nucleotide ribosomal RNA is filed under the name uncultured bacterium. Its description in RNAcentral is "bacterial SSU rRNA". It matches the Rfam family "Bacterial small subunit ribosomal RNA", at positions 341 to 899 of the family's 1533-position model. The record is from RNAcentral.
ACGGGAGGCAGCAGUGAGGAAUAUUUCACAAUGAGCGAAAGCUUGAUGGAGCAAUGCCGCGUGCAGGAUGAAGGCCCUCGGGUUGUAAACUGCUUUUAUAAGAGAAGAUUAUGACGGUAACUUAUGAAUAAGCACCGGCUAACUACGUGCCAGCAGCCGCGGUCAUACGUAGGGUGCAAGCAUUAUCCGGAGUGACUGGGCGUAAAGAGUUGCGUAGGCGGUUUAAUAAGUGAAUAGUGAAACCUGGUGGCUCAACCAUACAGACUAUUAUUCAAACUGUUAAACUCGAGAAUGGUAGAGGUAACUGGAAUUUCUUGUGUAGGAGUGAAAUCCGUAGAUAUAAGAAGGAACACCAAUGGCGUAGGCAGGUUACUGGGCCAUUUCUGACGCUAAGGCACGAAAGCGUGGGGAGCGAACCGGAUUAGAUACCCGGGUAGUCCACGCCGUAAACGAUGGAUACUGGCUGUUGGAGGUAUCGACCCCUUCAGUAGCGAAGCUAACGCGUUAAGUAUCCCGCCUGUGGAGUACGGCCGCAAGGCUAAAA